CUUUCUUUGCUGGCGACCGGCGCACGGGUGAGUAACACGUAUCCAACCUGCCCUUUACUCGGGGAUAGCCUUUCGAAAGAAAGAUUAAUACCCGAUAGCAUAAUGAUUCCGCAUGGUUUCAUUAUUAAAGGAUUCCGGUAAAGGAUGGGAUGCGUUCCAUUAGGUUGUUGGUGAGGUAACGGCUCACCAAGCCUUCGAUGGAUAGGGGUUCUGAGAGGAAGGUCCCCCACAUUGGAACUGAGACACGGUCCAA
RNAcentral lists this ribosomal RNA (253 nucleotides) under uncultured bacterium. RNAcentral's name for it is "partial 16S ribosomal RNA". It matches the Rfam family "Bacterial small subunit ribosomal RNA", at positions 79 to 334 of the family's 1533-position model. The record is from RNAcentral.